AUGUUUAGUAGCCAAUUUUUUACUCAAACUUUAACAGAUUCUUCAAGUACAGAAUCUGUAAGAGAAAUAAAGACAAAUAAAAAAUAUAUGUUUAUGGAAAUUAUUAAAAUGCUUUCAAUCAUGAUUUUAUUUUUUAUUUCUUCUUACUUUGCAUUAUGUUAUAUUUUUAACUAUUUUAUGGGUCAACAUAACAUAUGUGUUAAUCUGGAUUUAUACAAUUAUAAAUACGAAAAUAAUGUACAUUUUAUUCCUAGCAUUAGUAACAACAAGUAUUAUGUUUUUACAGGAAAAUUUCCAUUUGAUGUUAUAACACAUAAACUCAGAAAGGACAUUCUUAAAAAAAGUAUGAAUGAGGAAAUCGUUAAAUAUAACAAUGAAAAUCCAAAAAAUAGUAUUGAUCUAAUUUCUAAUUUAAACGAUGAUGUAAUACAGAUAAUUUCUUUUAAUAGAUCUGAUAAUCAACCGAAAUGUGAAAAAAAAAUUUUUGAUUUAUAUAAACCUUUUUAUUUAAAAACAGUUAGUGCUGAUGUUAAUAUAAAUAAUUUCAAUUUUCUGUUAAAUGAUAUUAACUACAAAUUUAUAACAAAUCCUUAUAACAUUCCUGAACAUAAACUAUACGGAGAAGUAUCAAAAUUUAUGAACAUAAGCGAGAAAAAAAAAUAAAAUUUGUUACAUAACGUCUUAUUUAAAGUCUUUAAAAGAUGAUGACUAUAUAGUGGAAAGUCAUUCAACAUUACUUAAUAACAAUUCAAAUGUAGUUGUAAACGAUAAGAUAGAAAAUGUUUUGAACAAUGAUACAACUAAUAAAAUAAUAGACUUGGAAAAUUCA
Piliocolobus tephrosceles (Ugandan red Colobus) is the source of this 829-nucleotide long non-coding RNA. NCBI's taxonomy places the organism in Eukaryota, Metazoa, Chordata, Mammalia, Primates, Cercopithecidae. The record is from Ensembl.